UUCAACUAUUUUAUUGUUGUGAUGAUUUUCUCAUCACUCUACUUGUCCAGAGGACAAACUACAAAUAAACCUUUGACAACGAAUAAAAGUGUUGAAAAUACAGAAGAACCAAGAACUACACCGAAAGUUUUUGAGGAUUCUAGGCCAAAUAGUGUGUUUUUCAUUGAGCCUAUCAUUAGAAGACCCCGAUUACAAAGAGUCCAGAGGAUAGAGCUAGCCGAUCCUUGAAUAUUAAACUAUAAUAGAAAGGCGAACCGAACCCAUUCUUAUUAAGAACAGCCCUUCUGAAGCAGUCAUGAAAUUCAUACAACCAGCAUGUAUUCGGUGCACGUAAUAUAUAUCUAACGCUGUCUGUGAAUUAUGUAAUGCAUGACCGACAAAUGAAGUGCUAGUAUAACAUUUA
Magallana angulata is the source of this 403-nucleotide long non-coding RNA. RefSeq lists it as uncharacterized. The record is from RefSeq and is a predicted model, not a curated record. The transcript has 2 exons. NCBI's taxonomy places the organism in Eukaryota, Metazoa, Mollusca, Bivalvia, Ostreida, Ostreidae.